This is a small nuclear RNA of Anastrepha obliqua, 100 nucleotides long. Lineage: Eukaryota; Metazoa; Arthropoda; Insecta; Diptera; Tephritidae. The record is from RefSeq and is a predicted model, not a curated record.
GUGUACUAAGAAAGGAGAGCAAGUUAGCACUCCCCUAGACAAGGAUGGAACACAUAAAUGACCGGAAUAGGCACAAGACAAGUUCCGGUCGACAAUUUUU